Molecule: long non-coding RNA, 512 nt
Organism: Sarcophilus harrisii (Tasmanian devil)
Lineage: Eukaryota; Metazoa; Chordata; Mammalia; Dasyuromorphia; Dasyuridae
Source: Ensembl
GGUGCAGAUUUAGGCAGAUCCUUAGGUUCAGGUGGACGCUUAGACACACGUGAGGGUUCAGGUCCAGAUUUGGAUGGAGAUUUAGGCAGAUCCUUAGGUUCAGGUGGACGCUUAGACACACGGGAUGGUUCAGGUCCAGAUUUGGGUGAAGAUUUAGGCAGAUCUCUGGGUUCAGGUUCAGGUGUAGCUGUAGAUGUAGAUGCAGAUUUAGGCACACAUGUGGGUUCAAGUCCCAGUUCAGGUGCAGGGUUAGGUAUAUGUCCAAGUUUAGGUUCAGGUUGGGGCUCAGUUGGAACACUGGCCUCAGUUCUGGCUUUUUUCUUCUUGUUUUUGGGCAUAUCUUACUUAUAAAUGGGACCGCAAACACCCCAAGGUAGAAGAAUUGGCAAGGAGAGGUUGGGGAAAAAGAGAUAAUAAAAACAGAUAAAAUUCUAAUAUCAAGAUCUGACUAGGAAAACUGUAUGCUUGCCUGCUCUGCUGACUUAAAAAGAUUUGACCUCUCAACUAUCCCC